Long non-coding RNA from Ailuropoda melanoleuca (giant panda), 1157 nucleotides. RefSeq lists it as uncharacterized. NCBI's taxonomy places the organism in Eukaryota, Metazoa, Chordata, Mammalia, Carnivora, Ursidae. The record is from RefSeq and is a predicted model, not a curated record. The transcript has 2 exons.
CGUGACAUGCACAUCCUCGACUUUAAAGGAGACGCUUUAUCAGCAAAGCAAAGCACCACAACACAAACUGGACACCACCACUGCCAACAAACAGCUCCCAGCAAGCUUCCCUGGGCGCCGGAGCCCAGUGUCGGGGCUGUCAAGACAGCGCAGGGUCGCGGGGAUGAAGCAGUUUCCCUUUGCCCUGAGCUUUCACCUUGCAGUUCUUUAUAAGCAGAAACAAAGUGUCCAGGAAGCUGUCAUUUUCCCAGUCUAGCCCAGAAGGCAGGUCUUUGACCUGCUUGUUAUGGAAACUCUGUUGCAGGUGAUUCCAUCUAAAAGAACAAACAGCUCCAAGCGGGGCCACAGACUGGGUCCCUUUCUGAAACAUGGAAUUUCUUUAGGGAAAUCUGUUCCAGAUAGAGUGAAGCCACUGUCUUCCAGACACCUAAGGAUUUUUAAGGGACCAGUGGUCAGAGCCAGGCCUGACUGUGCUUUCAGGAACCCGCGGAGGGACUCCUGCCCUGGCCCCAAUCUCCCACCUGCAGACUGGAAACAAAGCCCGUCUAUAUUCCACACCUCGCAGGACACCUGUGAGCCCUCUUCGGAGAGACUUGCUCAGUUUGGGCUCUGAAUGAAGAACACCUCGUCUGAUUAUGUGCAUUAAGGUUCGGUUGGAUUCCCAGAGGUUUAGAAAAGUGACAAGAACCUCCAUCUUCCAAAGGGGGGUGCGGGAUCCCCCUGCAGCUCACACCAAGUGUGUGACCUCCUGCGAGGGCCCAGAAGACCAAAGUGGCAAGAGCAGAGAAGGGUGGACAAGCCGUCAUCCGCAGCCCACAGCGGACGGGAACCUCGUAGGUCCCCAGGGACACAGCCAGUGUGCAGUGGGGGUGGAAGUGUGUCUUCCCAAAAGAGGUGCUGAAAUCCUACCCUGGCUGCAGGGGAAGGGGUGGAGAGGGCUGCCUUUCAGUGACCCCCAGGGUCCCUGCUCACAGAAGUGACACGAUGCUCGAGGACACGAAAGUGCCCUGAGUCCUUCGUUUUAUUUUGUUUUGAGGUGACAGGAGAAAUUAAGGGGCUUGCAAGGGGAUUUCAUUCAGGAGCAAAAAAAAGAAUGAUGUCAUCAAAAGAGUCUGAAAGGAAGAGGGAGGACAAAAUAAACUUCUUCUGGGACUUCA